RNAcentral lists this ribosomal RNA (774 nucleotides) under uncultured Neocallimastigales. Its description in RNAcentral is "partial large subunit ribosomal RNA". It matches the Rfam family "Eukaryotic large subunit ribosomal RNA", at positions 22 to 637 of the family's 3401-position model. Lineage: Eukaryota; Fungi; Neocallimastigomycota; Neocallimastigomycetes; Neocallimastigales. The record is from RNAcentral.
UAGAUGCGAGAGUAGAGCAUAUCAAUAAGCGGAGGAAAAGAAACUAACAAGGAUUCCCUUAGUAACGGCGAGUGAAGCGGGAAGAGCUCAAAUUUGAAAUCUUCAAGGUUCUACCUUGACGAAUUGUAGUUUAAAGAAGUGUUUUCUGUUAGAUGAGUAGCAAAAGUUCCUUGGAAUGGGACAUCAUAGAGGGUGAGAAUCCCGUAUUUGGUUAUUCAUUCUAGCUUUGUGAUACACUUUCAAAGAGUCGGAUUGUUUGGGAAUGCAGUCCAAAAUGGGUGGUAAAUUUCAUCUAAAGCUAAAUAUUGGCGAGAGACCGAUAGCGAACAAGUACUGUGAGGGAAAGAUGAAAAGAACUUUGAAAAGAGAGUUAGACAGUACGUGAAAUUGUCAAAAGGGAAGCGUUUGACACCAGUGUUGUUUUUCCGAAAAUCAAUUACGAAUGGCUUGAUUUUGUGUUGUAUUGACCUUAUCAGCUUUCUGCACUUUUUUCGAGUCUUUCUUAAUGCACUUUUCGGUUAACAAGUCAACAUCAAUUUCUUUUGUUGUAAAAGAGUAUUCGGAAGGUGGCUUUCUUUUCGGAGAAAGUGUUUAUAGCCCUAUACUUCUACAAUCGGAGAGAUUGAGGUCUGCAGCGUAGAUCCUUCGGGGUUAGAUACACUUGUGCUAAGUUGUAGCUUUUCAUAGACAACUUGUUGACUAUGUUUAGUCAUGCGGCUUACUCGCUUGUGCUAUUUUACCUACGCUUAGGAUGUUGAGCGCAUGUCUCUCUCU